This 82-nucleotide transfer RNA is filed under the name Candidatus Eiseniibacteriota bacterium. RNAcentral describes it as "tRNA-Ser". It matches the Rfam family "tRNA". Rfam says of the family: Transfer RNA (tRNA) molecules are approximately 80 nucleotides in length. Lineage: Bacteria; Candidatus Eiseniibacteriota. The record is from RNAcentral.
GGAGGGCUAGGCUAAUGGUAAGUCAGCGGAUUUGAAAUCCGCCGCCCGAAAGGGCUUGGGGGUUCGAGUCCCUCGCCCUCCG